CGGUUGGUUUGAAACAAACUGCGCCAUUUAAUAGCUGCUGGAAUGUCAAACGACUUGGAAGCUUUCGUCGUCCGUUCCGAAUUUUCUCAACUUUUCUUAUUACAAAUAAGUGAACUCACAACCUGUCGGUUCAGGCCCCAGGUCAAGACCACCAUGGAUGCAAAUGCCACCGUUGGCGUUCUGAUGUAACAGUUAUAGUACUAGUGCCAAACUGGAAAGAGUGUCCUAUUCAACUUCACGGUGACGUAUCAAAGUGUAGUAUUCGCAAAAUUGGACGGCGUUGAAGAGUGUUGCCCGGUGAAUCAAGACACAGGACAUCACUUUUUUAUCUAAUAGUUGGAGCAGAGUAGUGUGUGUGUAGGCUGUGGUUUGCUCCACCGAUGAGAGACACCGAGAUUCAAUCCUCUCAUCAGAGAUGAGUGGACUAUCAAUUCUGUCACAUAACUACAUACGACAUCAAGUUUCAAUAUUUGUUCACAACUUCUGAC
Long non-coding RNA from Lineus longissimus, 488 nucleotides. RefSeq lists it as uncharacterized. NCBI's taxonomy places the organism in Eukaryota, Metazoa, Nemertea, Pilidiophora, Heteronemertea, Lineidae. The record is from RefSeq and is a predicted model, not a curated record. The transcript has 3 exons.